AGCGAACGCUGGCGGUAGGCUUAACACAUGCAAGUCGAACGGCAGCACACUAAUAGCUUGCUCUUACGGGUGGCGAGUGGCGGACGGGUGAGGAAUAUAUCGGAAUCUACUCUUUGGGGGGGGUUCACGUAGGUAAACCUACUCUAAUACCGCAUACGACCUACGGGUGAAAGGAUGGGAUCUUUUCACCUUGCGCGAUUGAAUGCGCCGAUGUUGGAUUAGCUAGUUGGCGGGGUAAAGACCAAGCAAGGCGACGAUCCGUUGCCUGUCUGCGAGGAUGAUCGGCCACCCUGGAACUGGGACACGGUCAAGACUCCUGAGAGAGGCAGCAGUGGGCAAUAUUAGACAGUGGUCGCAAGCCUGACCCAGCCGUCCCGAGCGGGUUAAGACAGCCUUCCGGUUGUAAAGACCUUUUGUUGGUAGAGAAAAGCUGCCGCUUAUUACGAAGCUGUUGUGACGGUAACCAAAGAAUAAGCACCGGCUAACUUCGUG
This 492-nucleotide ribosomal RNA is filed under the name uncultured bacterium. Its description in RNAcentral is "partial 16S ribosomal RNA". It matches the Rfam family "Bacterial small subunit ribosomal RNA", at positions 29 to 507 of the family's 1533-position model. The record is from RNAcentral.